Molecule: ribosomal RNA, 897 nt
Filed under: uncultured bacterium
Lineage: Bacteria
Description: bacterial SSU rRNA
Rfam family: Bacterial small subunit ribosomal RNA
Source: RNAcentral
GAUGAACGCUAGCUACAGGCUUAACACAUGCAAGUCGAGGGGAAACGAUAGAGAAAGCUUGCUUUUUCUAGGCGUCGACCGGCGCACGGGUGAGUAACGCGUAUCCAACCUGCCCAUCACUUGGGGAUAACCUUGCGAAAGUAAGACUAAUACCCAAUGAGGUCUCUAGAAGACAUCUGAAAGAGAUUAAAGAUUUAUCGGUGAUGGAUGGGGAUGCGUCUGAUUAGCUUGUUGGCGGGGUAACGGCCCACCAAGGCGACGAUCAGUAGGGGUUCUGAGAGGAAGGUCCCCCACAUUGGAACUGAGACACGGUCCAAACUCCUACGGGAGGCAGCAGUGAGGAAUAUUGGUCAAUGGGCGAGAGCCUGAACCAGCCAAGUAGCGUGCAGGAUGACGGCCCUAUGGGUUGUAAACUGCUUUUAUAAGGGAAUAAAGUGGGAGUCGUGACUCCUUUUGCAUGUACCUUAUGAAUAAGGACCGGCUAAUUCCGUGCCAGCAGCCGCGGUAAUACGGAAGGUCCGGGCGUUAUCCGGAUUUAUUGGGUUUAAAGGGAGCGUAGGCCGGAGAUUAAGCGUGUUGUGAAAUGUAGACGCUCAACGUCUGCACUGCAGCGCGAACUGGUUUCCUUGAGUACGCACAAAGUGGGCGGAAUUCGUGGUGUAGCGGUGAAAUGCUUAGAUAUCACGAAGAACUCCGAUUGCGAAGGCAGCUCACUGGAGCGCAACUGACGCUGAAGCUCGAAAGUGCGGGUAUCGAACAGGAUUAGAUACCCUGGUAGUCCGCACGGUAAACGAUGGAUGCCCGCUGUUGGUCUGAAUAGGUCAGCGGCCAAGCGAAAGCAUUAAGCAUCCCACCUGGGGAGUACGCCGGCAACGGUGAAACUCAAAGGAAUUGACG